This 2261-nucleotide small RNA is filed under the name Pan troglodytes (chimpanzee). Its description in RNAcentral is "retained intron". The record is from RNAcentral. Lineage: Eukaryota; Metazoa; Chordata; Mammalia; Primates; Hominidae.
AUUGCUAGAAUUGUUGGCAACAGUGCAGCAGCAGCGAUGACAGCAGGUAGCGCCCAUUUUGCCAUGUGCAGGCACGGGGUUGUUUUACGUUCAUUCAUUUAACCCAAUGGAGAGUAUCUGUGUUCCAAACAUCAAAAAGGGACAGUAAAAAUACGGUCCUAUAGGACUGCCAUUGUAUACAUGGUCUGUUGUUGACUGAAAGGUCAUUAUGUGACAUGUGACUGUAUUAUCCUUGGCCCCUUUUACAAAUGAGGACACCAUGGCCCAGAGGAGUUUAGGAUGGGCCCCAGGUCAUGUAGCUGGAGAGUGGCAGAGCCAAGGUGUGAAUCCCGCGCCUGGCUCUGGAGCCCUGUUCUCAGCCACCGUGCUGGGCAGCCCACACCUGGCAUCCUCUCUGUUAGGGGCAGGGGACUGCCCCCAUGCCCUCCCUGACAUUGCUAUUCUUGCUAAAAUGAAGAGACAGAGCUGAGGGGAGAGCUAAAAAGAACGAAUCUGGACCGGCAUCAGAAACAUGCUGCUUCCCACCAGCGAGUUUUCUGCUUCACUCUUGGGCCCAGGGCCUGCAGGGUGUGCUGUGACCUCAUCUGAAGAAGCACCCACACGGGCAGGCCCUGAGGGGCUGCAGCAGACCCACCUCGAUGCCUCUCGAGCCCCACCCGGCCCUACUUAUGCCUUCCAUCUGCACCAACACCGAUGAGAAGCUUGCACCUCCCCAGUCUUCCCUGGUUUUGCUCGUAGCUGGCUGGCUGGAUCCCUGCAUGGAUGGCCCUUGGACAACCCUUUGUGCCAGAUGACCUGGCCGCCGUGUAUUGAGAGCGCACACAGACCAGGCGCUGUGCCUGUGGUGUUCCCCCAAUGCAUUCGCAUGGCAGCCCCACUUUACACAGGCGGAAACUGAGGCUGGUUAGGGGAGUGCUCAGCUGCAGGACCUCAUGGCCAGACCCCAGGCAGGUCAGCCUCCAAAGCCCCAGCUCUUACCCACCCCACCGCCCAACUUCUUGCUGGUUUCAGGGGAGGAGCCCACUGUGCCAGGCCCUCACCUCGUGGUGGUACCCAGAGCCCAUGCUGUCUCCCAAGGAGGGCACUGCUCAGCCGCCCUCUCUUUCUGCAGGCCAGAAGCACUUGUGUGUCACCAGCCUCCUGAUCUGCCAGGGUCUGCUCUGGGUGGGCACUGACCAGGGUGUCAUCGUCCUGCUGCCCGUGCCUCGGCUGGAAGGCAUCCCCAAGAUCACAGGGAAAGGCAUGGUCUCACUCAAUGGGCACUGUGGGCCUGUGGCCUUCCUGGCUGUGGCUACCAGCAUCCUGGCCCCUGACAUCCUGCGGAGUGACCAGGAGGAGGCUGAGGGGCCCCGGGCUGAGGAGGACAAGCCAGACGGGCAGGCACACGAGCCCAUGCCCGACAGCCACGUGGGCCGAGAGCUGACCCGCAAGAAGGGCAUCCUCUUGCAGUACCGCCUGCGCUCCACCGCACACCUCCCGGGCCCGCUGCUCUCCAUGCGGGAGCCGGCGCCUGCUGAUGGCGCCGCUCUGGAGCACAGCGAGGAGGACGGCUCCAUUUAUGAGAUGGCCGACGACCCCGACGUCUGGGUGCGCAGCCGGCCCUGCGCCCGCGACGCCCACCGCAAGGAGAUUUGCUCUGUGGCCAUCAUCUCCGGCGGGCAGGGCUACCGCAACUUUGGCAGCGCUCUGGGCAGCAGUGGGAGGCAGGCCCCGUGUGGGGAGACGGACAGCACCCUCCUCAUCUGGCAGGUGCCCUUGAUGCUAUAGCGCCUCCCCUCUCCCCUCAGAGGGCACAGCUGCAGGCCUGACCAAGGCCACGCCCGGCUCUCGUGCUCUAGGACCUGCACGGGACGUGUGGAUGGGCCUGGACUCUCCAGAAACUACUUGGGCAGAGCAAAGGAAAACCUCUUGUUUUAAAAAAAUUUUUUUCAGAGUGUUUUGGGGAGGAGUUUUAGGGCUUGGGGAGAGGCAGGACACAUCUGGAGGAAAUGGCCUUCUUUUUAAAAGCAAAAAACACAAAACCUCACAACUGCCUGGCAAGCCCAGUAUCACUUGUUUGGGCCCUAGCGGGACUCCAAGGCAGCCACACGCCCCUCCUGGAAGGGUGUGUGGGUGUGAGUGUGUGCGAGUGUGUGGGCUGGUGUGUGAAUAUCUAUAAAUACGUAUAUAUGGUGUAUAUUAUAUGUGUAUAAAUAAAGUCUGUACAUAUUGGAGCUCUGGGAGAUGCUGGAAUAAAAGACAAGAGUUACAUCUGGACUUGG